CUUUUACUAGGAAAACGUCUUACUGUUUUUGGAAAUUCAGCGGAAACUUGAAUUACAGGACCUUUUUUCACAGCAUAGAAACGUGCCGAAAUAGAAGCUACUAAAUGAUGGCUUCUGAAAUACCUAUGCAGGUGUAUGAAGGUACUACAGACGAGCAUUCAUACGAACAAAUCAAGGUCGAUAAGAAGGAAAAUAAUUUUAACUUGUCCAGAAAACAAUGGAUCAAUAUUUUUCUGUUAAUGCUUGCGUUGGCGACUGUUGGAAUAGGAUUUACCGUGACUUAUUUUACUUUACAUUCACUUAUUGAUUUGAAAAUGGCAAACCUGGAUAGAAGAAUAGAUGAGCUAUCACAAUCCAAUACGUCGAUAGCUGAAAUUUUCAAAAAGAUGGUUCCUGAAAAUUCAGAGAGAGGUCCCAGUUUGCGGGCUAGGUGUAUGUAGUUUUGUAUUGUAAAGUAUGGAGAUAUAGUACAGAUGGUGGUGAAACCUGUUGACAGUGCGGCGUUCCGUGUUUAUCAUCAAUAGUUUGGCAACAUAGAAUAUUUGGAGUCGAGUCUAGACAAUAGGGCAGCCGUAAUGUGUACACCGCUUAUGUUGGGCCAGUUUUGUGUAGUUACCGAAAACCAAAUACGUAAAAUUCCGUAGUAUCGUUUAUCCAGAUUUCAUAGUUUAAUAUAAAGAAGAAGGAACAGUUCAUUAAACAUUUGACAGUAUUAUUUCAUUUGAUUUCAUCUAUUUAUAUUUGUAAAUUUGUACCUAAUUAAAUUGUUAUUUGUUUAAA
This is a long non-coding RNA of Mytilus californianus (California mussel), 780 nucleotides long. RefSeq lists it as uncharacterized. The record is from RefSeq and is a predicted model, not a curated record. Lineage: Eukaryota; Metazoa; Mollusca; Bivalvia; Mytilida; Mytilidae. The transcript is spliced from 3 exons.